GGCGAACGGCUGAGGAACACGUACGCACCGACCCUCCGGUGGGGAAUAACCCCGCGAAAGCGGGGCUAACACCGCGUACGCUCGCGAGAGGAAAGCAGCGAUGCGCCGGGGGACGGGCGUGCGGCCCAUCAGAUAGUUGGCGGGGUAACGGCUCACCAAGUCGAUGACGGGUCGCUGGUCUGUGAGGACGAUCAGCCAGACUGGGACUGCGACACGGCCCAGACACCUACGGGUGGCAGCAGUCGAGAAUUUUUCUCAAUGGGGGAAACCCUGAAGGAGCGACGCCGCGUGGAGGAUGAAGGCUUUCGGGUUGUAAACUCCUGUCGAGGGGGAACAAGAUGCCGUGCAGAGCGGCGUUUGAGUGAUCCCUGGAGGAAGCACGGGCUAAGUUCGUGCCAGCAGCCGCGGUAAGACGAACCGUGCGAACGUUAUUCGGAAUCACUGGGCUUAAAGCGCGUGUAGGCGGCCUGGCCCGUCUGACGCUGAAAUCCCCCGGCUCAACCGGGGAAGCGGCGGAGAUACGACCAGGCUGGAGGGGGGUAGGGGGGACGGGAACUUCCGGUGGAGCGGUGAAAUGCGUUGAGAUCGGAAGGAACGCCCGCGGCGAAAGCGCGUCCCUGGACCCCACCUGACGCUGAGACGCGAAAGCCAGGGGAGCGAACGGGAUUAGAUACCCCGGUAGUC
RNAcentral lists this ribosomal RNA (684 nucleotides) under uncultured Planctomycetaceae bacterium. Its description in RNAcentral is "bacterial SSU rRNA". It matches the Rfam family "Bacterial small subunit ribosomal RNA", at positions 97 to 795 of the family's 1533-position model. The record is from RNAcentral. Lineage: Bacteria; Pseudomonadati; Planctomycetota; Planctomycetia; Planctomycetales; Planctomycetaceae.